Molecule: ribosomal RNA, 486 nt
Filed under: uncultured bacterium
Lineage: Bacteria
Description: partial 16S ribosomal RNA
Rfam family: Bacterial small subunit ribosomal RNA
Source: RNAcentral
AUUGAACGCUGGCGGCAUGCCUUACACAUGCAAGUCGAACGGCAGCACGGGUGCUUGCACCUGGUGGCGAGUGGCGAACGGGUGAGUAAUACAUCGGAACAUGUCCUGUAGUGGGGGAUAGCCCGGCGAAAGCCGGAUUAAUACCGCAUACGAUCCACGGAUGAAAGCGGGGGACCUUCGGGCCUCGCGCUAUAGGGUUGGCCGAUGGCUGAUUAGCUAGUUGGUGGGGUAAAGGCCUACCAAGGCGACGAUCAGUAGCUGGUCUGAGAGGACGACCAGCCACACUGGGACUGAGACACGGCCCAGACUCCUACGGGAGGCAGCAGUGGGGAAUUUUGGACAAUGGGCGAAAGCCUGAUCCAGCAAUGCCGCGUGUGUGAAGAAGGCCUUCGGGUUGUAAAGCACUUUUGUCCGGAAAGAAAUCCUUUGCUCUAAUACAGUCGGGGGAUGACGGUACCGGAAGAAUAAGCACCGGCUAACUACGUG